UGUUUGCCUAAAUUCCUAUUUAGAUUUAUUAGUUGCACCAGUAUUGUUGGAUGUAGGUUUAUAGUUAUCGGAUGUCCCUGCAGGCUGAACACCUUGGCAAACUGGAGGAUAGUUUUCAAGAACCACAAAGCCUAGAAUUUGUUUCUAAUUGUUCUAAAUUAUGUUUUAUUUUAUAUGUACUUGAAGUUUAUGGCUAGAUGGGAGCAGAAAAAGUCUGUCGGUGGAGGAAAAAAAAAGGAAGUGAAGGAGACUGGUUUGGGUCUUUCUUUUACUAAGGAUGAAAAUUUCAAGGAAUGAUACUGAGGUAUAUUUUGUUGCAAUGGUACAAUUGCUUGUGAUUGUUAUACUACUUUAUCGAGAUCUUAGUAUCUUAUGAUUAUAUCAUACAUUUUGGCUUUUGUAAGUUACUGUCAAUGGUGAAAUGAUUGAAUACAAUGACAUUUUUAGCUAUUA
Theobroma cacao (cacao) is the source of this 453-nucleotide non-coding RNA. Lineage: Eukaryota; Viridiplantae; Streptophyta; Magnoliopsida; Malvales; Malvaceae. The record is from RefSeq and is a predicted model, not a curated record.